GAAAUGCGAUAAGUAAUGUGAAUUGCAGAAUUCAGUGAAUCAUCGAAUCUUUGAACGCACAUUGCACCUGGUAGUAUUCUGCCAGGUAUGCCUGUUCGAGCGUCAUUUCAACCCUCGGUGGCCCGUUUUCUGGCGACCGGUGUUGGGCGGACCGCGGCGGCCACAGCGCCGGCCCGCGACCCCCCUAAAUUCAGUGGCAGCCCCGCGCUGAGCCCCCUGCGUAGUAGUUCUAAAAACUCGCAUCGGGCCCGGGCGUCGGCCCGCCGUAAAAUCGCUUCGGCAAACAGUUACAAGGUUGACCUCGAAUCAGGUAGGGAUACCCGCUGAACUUAA
This 333-nucleotide unclassified non-coding RNA is filed under the name uncultured Ascomycota. RNAcentral describes it as "sequence contains ITS1". The stretch from base 1 to 105 matches the Rfam family "5.8S ribosomal RNA", at positions 50 to 154 of the family's 154-position model. Lineage: Eukaryota; Fungi; Ascomycota. The record is from RNAcentral.